This 253-nucleotide ribosomal RNA is filed under the name uncultured bacterium. RNAcentral describes it as "partial 16S ribosomal RNA". It matches the Rfam family "Bacterial small subunit ribosomal RNA", at positions 524 to 776 of the family's 1533-position model. The record is from RNAcentral.
UACGAAGGGGGCUAGCGUUGCUCGGAAUCACUGGGCGUAAAGGGUGCGUAGGCGGGUCUUUAAGUCAGAGGUGAAAUCCUGGAGCUCAACUCCAGAACUGCCUUUGAUACUGAGGAUCUUGAGUACGGGAGAGGUGAGUGGAACUGCGAGUGUAGAGGUGAAAUUCGUAGAUAUUCGCAAGAACACCAGUGGCGAAGGCGGCUCACUGGCCCGUAACUGACGCUGAGGCACGAAGGCGUGGGGAGCAAACAGG